GCGAGGAUGGCGAAAAUGGCAGACGCGCUAGCUUCAGAUGCUAGUGUCUUAAAUUAUAGACAUGAGGGUUCAAAUCCCUCUCUUCGCA
This is a transfer RNA of 88 nucleotides. It matches the Rfam family "tRNA". Rfam says of the family: Transfer RNA (tRNA) molecules are approximately 80 nucleotides in length. Their secondary structure includes four short double-helical elements and three loops (D, anti-codon, and T loops). Further hydrogen bonds mediate the characteristic L-shaped molecular structure. tRNAs have two regions of fundamental functional importance: the anti-codon, which is responsible for specific mRNA codon recognition, and the 3' end, to which the tRNAs corresponding amino acid is attached (by aminoacyl-tRNA synthetases). tRNAs cope with the degeneracy of the genetic code in two manners: having more than one tRNA (with a specific anti-codon) for a particular amino acid; and 'wobble' base-pairing, i.e. permitting non-standard base-pairing at the 3rd anti-codon position.